CUCAAUGGUGGGCUGGGCGGGGGCACCGCAAGGUGCGCCGGUAGCCAACGAGGCCGGUAAGACCAACUCCGUUCAGUCCACCACCCGC
RNAcentral lists this non-coding RNA (88 nucleotides) under Sodalis ligni. The record is from RNAcentral. Lineage: Bacteria; Pseudomonadati; Pseudomonadota; Gammaproteobacteria; Enterobacterales; Bruguierivoracaceae.